This 3730-nucleotide long non-coding RNA is filed under the name Homo sapiens (human). RNAcentral's name for it is "HSALNT0353197". The record is from RNAcentral. Lineage: Eukaryota; Metazoa; Chordata; Mammalia; Primates; Hominidae.
ACCAAUUCCGGACACAAUCUCAGCACUGUGGGAGACUGAGGCACCUGCCAAACCUGCACAGAUUCCUACAGCAGCCAGUUCGCUCUGUCUCGAGGCUUCAGAGGAACACGAACUUCUCUGAUGGAAGAGCCUUGUUCUAGAAGGGAGUGAAGCCUAGGUCUUUCCUGAGCACACAGAAGAUCAAGACCACACUCACUGACUUCUCAUAGUCAAGCAAUUUUGGCCAAUUAAAUGUCAGUUGGAAACUCCUGUGUCAGCUUCUCUGUGGCGGUGAGAAGUCCCUGUGUGACAUCCCAACUCUCCCCUCACCUGCGUUGGCAACCAAGAAAGCCUUGUGUUGGAGGUGGGGCCACAAGUUUAAAGCUAAGUUACCACCUCGAGGGCACAUUCCUGGAGAGCUUCCCAGGCCCACAGUGGCACGUGUAUGAGUGACAGAUCCACUUCUUUAUUACCUUUUUGAAGAACAGGAACCUUUGUCUGGAAAUUCCACAAGUAUGCCUUUUGCAAGAUUAAAAGUGCCACAAAGAACAAAAAUGAGCCCAGGACCAGAUGCAUGUUAAAAGCCAUCAGACACGUUAAGUUUCAUCUCCAUUGACCUGCAGAAGGAGUCUCUCACCACAGCCACCACAUCUAUGCAUGUGCUGAGUCACAUGUGAAGCCAGCACAUCUCAGAGUCUCACCGAAAGCUCAUGGUGAGACAAAGAGACUAGAAGGGGUAGAGUCAGCUAACUUCUCUCCUCCCACCACUGAUGAGGUUUUGGUGAAUUCUCUUCCCUUGCUCACUUGCAGAUUCAGCAGAGUUGUCUAUAGUGGCUUAAUUGGAAUUGCUGGACAAGAACAUUGAUUCUGCUUCACUCAGGUAAAGAUGAAAGUAACUGCAACAAUGGAUAUUGCAUUUGAAGGUCAUUGAGUUGUAGUCAGGCAAGGGGAGCAGAUAUUAAAACAUACACGCACAAAAUAAUGGGAUUUUUAUUUAGCAUCUCGCAAGUCUUGAGUAACAUAGUAUUAAUUGACCUUGAGAUUUCAUUCUUUUGUGACUCAUUGCAUUUGCUUUUGUGUUUCAGAUUAAUAUAGAAUAUUUUAAAGAAAGAGUAAUACAGCCAAUUUUAAUCUCUGGGAAGUUUAUGCAAGACAUAAUUUAUUUGUAAACUUUAUAAUAAUAUGUGAAUUAAAGACCCUUGUUAGUUUGGUAUGAAUCUGACAUAAGGGCUAAAAUCACUUUUUCAUUAGCCUUCUCCUGAUCUCAGGUUUACACCUAAGAGAUUCUUCACUCCAAAGUCUUCAUUUCCAAGCACAACCUGCUGGGUGCUGCGCUUUUCUGAGGUCUCCUCCCCAGCUCUGCAUCUAGCAGUGCUCAUGAUGCAAUGAUUUCCUGUCUGACUAUCCCAUUCCUAUCCUUUGCAAAGUUCACAUAGACCCAUUUGAGUACACUUUUAGUAGCAUACCAAGUUUAAGUGCCAAAGUUGUGUUUUAGUUCUUUCAUCCAGAAAGAAAACAUCAGCUGUUUCAAAUUUUAGAGUCCAGCUUGGGCAACAAGAGAAUUGUCAUGUCGUCGAUUGUGUAGUAAGACACAGUGAGUGUCCAGCAAUGUAAAAUCAGUCUAUAAAUGAGAAGAUUAAGACCAAAAGCAUCGGGUUACAAACAUCUCACUAAAGCCCAUUAGCAGGCAGAGAGCUCUCCGCGGAGCUAGAAAAUGAGACUUUUCCCUCCUUUCUGCCCCAUACAUUAGUGCUGAUCUCAGGAGCUCAUUUUUGCACCCUUUGUGGCAGACAACCAUAUAAUCAAAGGGUUCCCAUCACUAAAUCAUUUGAAAAGACAAGUAGAAAUUAGCUUUAGCUAAUUUAACUAGCCUUUGCCCCUCCUCCUGACCCUGAGGGUGAAGCACAUUUUAUCAUUCAUCCUCUGGGGGCUGGCUUAUGCUGGCUCCCUUUCCUUUGGCAGUGAUUUUAAGCAACCAAGUUCUUAUUACAAUUCUCAAAUUUAAAAUUAAGUUCUGAUCACAUCUUCUCAGGGCAUACCUAAGAGGCAGUGUUUAUCCCCAGCCAAAUCAAUUGUUUCCUCAAGUGACUCAUUCCUGAAAAUGUUAUUGUUUCUAAUAACCAGCUCAAAUAUGUAUUUUCAUUAAUCUUUUCUUUUACCUCCAUUUCACACGUGUUGCUGCAUGUCAGGCAGUUUCCACAAGGAUCUGCCAUGACAUCAUUGUGUGAGGUAUGAAAAAAAAAUUUUUUUUUUUCUAAUUUAAGAAUUACUUUUACUCAGAUGGUGGCUGGGCUGGGAAAUGUUCCCCAUUGCCCUGGGAGUUUUAGGCCAAGGCUUGUGUGUGUGUGUGUGUGUGUGUGUGUGUUGGAAGGGUCUCUCAUUGCCUAUUUCUGCUUAUAUAACACACACUGGUUUAGGUAGGUGGAGUCAGAAUGGGAAGAGGAAGUUCCCUAAGUGUUUCUUGCAUGCAAAGGUAAGUGGAGAAUGCCCAUCUGGGCACACAGGGCAAGGAUGCAGUGGAGUGACCUCUCCUUUCCCCUCCAACUCACAUGCUGGAGUUUAAAAACUGUAUCAGGAUGACAGAAACCAAGGGGUAAGACCACGGCUUCCUCUGGGGAUCUUCUAUAAACUGUAAGAACAAACACAGGUAUUUUGUAGUUCUUUAUCACAACGGGUCCUUUGCUGAUGAUUCUAGGUUUUAUGACUGCUGUUUUAUGUCCUACAAAUAGUAACAGGCAUUUCCCUUUGCCCUACACCACAGUAAGCCACUGGCCUAGACAAGAAGCAACUCUGCACUGCUUUUCAAACAUCAUCCUCCCUCUCGACCGCAGGGACUAUUUGGUUUCUAUUCUACUUCUGGCCUUUCAUAUUCCUGAUGGUGCAUUGGAUGAAACCCCGCAGCCAGGCGUGUGAACGUGGUUGAAAAGACCCAUGGAGGACCAGCAACGCUUCCCCACAGCGUGGGAUGGUCCCCUCCUGAGAUGGCCCACUGUCAGCGGGACUGACGCCAAGCACUGCAUCCUGUCUGCUUCUUGAACAGCCCCUUCAUUGUUUGUUCAGCUAUUCUGCUGCAUCUGCAGAUAGCCCUGCCUGAGAAACAGCCUCAAACCAGAAGGAGAGGAUGGCGGCAAGCCUUAGAGAAACAUCAAAAUUUGCUAUUAAGAAAAUAGUGAAGAAGUCUCAUCAGAGAGAAGUUAAAAGCAUACUAGUGGAUUCCUUGGGGCUGCAGAAAGAGUAGCAAAAAGUUGGAGAAAACAUCAACUACACCAAAGGAAUUUUAGGAGCUUGGUCCCCAGCAAAGCUCAUGGAAUCUCUCUCUGCAAGGAAGAGUCAGUUUUAAAAGCCCUCAGCCUGCUCUCAAUGGGUCCUGCCUCCUUCCCUGCCUGCACCCCAACACUGGGGAAAGGAGAAACCUCCGUUAGCAAGUUGGAGAAAAGGAGUUGAGGAAGGAAGAGGAUAGCCCGGCCCCCUCCCUGACUGCAGGUUUUUCUUUUUCUUUUUAACAGUGGAUUCUAGCGAGGGGAGGGCAAAUCCCUGAAACCUUGAAUGAAGUUGGAAGCCUUUACUAGUUUGUGUGUUUGGAAUUCUAAGUAGAAAUUGAGACUGUGUUUUGUGACUCAAAUGACUAAGAUUUUCUGUUACCUACGAGUGGCCAAAAUGUCAAGUAUUCAUCCGGGGGCAGGGUGAAAACUAGACCUACUGAGAAAGUUAAAAGACAAGGGGAAAACACAAUAAACCUGCUGUAUUUUUA